UACAGGGGGGGCAAGCGUUGUUCGGAAUUACUGGGCGUAAAGGGCGCGUAGGCGGUCAGCACAAGUCAGUUGUGAAAUCUCCGGGCUUAACUCGGAAAGGUCAACUGAUACUGUGCGACUAGAGUGCGGAAGGGGCAACUGGAAUUCUCGGUGUAGCGGUGAAAUGCGUAGAUAUCGAGAGGAACACCUGCGGCGAAGGCGGGUUGCUGGGCCGACACUGACGCUGAUGCGCGAAAGCCAGGGGAGCGAACGGG
RNAcentral lists this ribosomal RNA (254 nucleotides) under uncultured bacterium. RNAcentral describes it as "partial 16S ribosomal RNA". It matches the Rfam family "Bacterial small subunit ribosomal RNA", at positions 524 to 776 of the family's 1533-position model. The record is from RNAcentral.